UUUACGAACCUCUUCACCUGGCUGUUCAUUUGUCUACCAACGAUAAUCCUUUAUGAUGAUUCAGCUAUAGUAAAGCACUUUUCUGGGCUGUCUAAGUUGUUCUAGAACUCCCAAACUGAAGAGACAGCUGUGGGAACCAUCUAGAUGUAGCAGCAGUUAGAAGUAACUGUGGUGACCCGGGACUAGGGACUAGUACGAGAACCUGGGCCGGCUUGCACAAUGGGGCCCCUACCUUGUGGGCCUGCUGCUAACUGCAUUAACUGUCAGGACUGAGUUGGGUUGGAGGAUGCUCAGCUGCUGUUGGCGAGUUGGAGUAGCACUUGGGAAACCACCCGGCAUCUGCCGUCACAGAGAAAGCAAUUUGGGAGUGGCAAAGUGUCUCACAUUCCUCUGACUUCUGUCCCAUCUCUCCCGGGCCAGACUCUAUCUCCCACAGCUGCCUUUGCCCCAUCCCCAUCGGGAUCGCCGUGCCAGGGGCUCCAGAUCCGUCGGACUCGGUCUAGUACACAAACUUUCUUUCAGAUUCUCGAGUAGUCAGUUUCUCCCAACCUUAGCUCGCCUUUCUUCCUCAGAACGUUGGCAAAGCUCACAGCAGCGCCCAGGUUGUCAACUAUACCAUCCUUCCAACCAAGUAGCAUGGUAGCUGAGGAUGUAGCUGCAGGAGUCCAGAAGCUCACAGAAAAUCUAUGGGCCAUAAAACUGCACUGACAUACAAGUUAGACUGAAAACUUGUGGAGAAGAGGAGUUUUCCUUUGUGCCCUGCCAAGCGUGGAGAAAUUGAGGCCCAUGAGAACGGGCUUAAAUAAAAUCGUACAGUAGUGGUGGCGUGACCACAGGACCACAGCUCCAGCCUUUCAGGCCUGCCCGUGUUCCAAGCUCCGAAGUCCUUCAGAGCUAAUGACCUGACAUGGUUAAUUGCUCACAAGUCUGAGCAUCAGAGGUCAAGAGGAUCAUUAGUUGCAGCCUGGAGAAGAGCCAUGUCAUCUCCAAGGGGAAUAAUACGUCCGAUGAAUAGGAGCAUUAGAGAUUUUCAUGUGCUCCGUGCCUGUUUCUCCCGCGAAAGACGGAAGCAUGAAACUGAAGCUGGUAGAAACAACGUCAAAAUAAUGAGAGGGCUGGGAAGAUGGCCCUGCAGGUAAAGGUAACUGGCCAGACCUGAGGACCUGUGCUCAGUCCCCAGGCUCCUUCGUGGUGGAAAGACAGAACUGACUCCUAAGUUGUCCUGUGACCUUCUCAACCACACCAUGACUCAUGUACUUCACCACCCCGACACACACACAAAUAAGGGAGAAUCACUGACUAGUGUGUGAUGUUAGCCUGUGACAAUUAAUCUUGUCUCAUGUCUUCCCGACGUCAGGCUAACUUAAGCAUCUGGAGAGAGGCCCCUGACCCCACAGGUGAAAGUCUCAGCUGUGGCAUUUAAGGUACCAUGGGAAGAUGAGAAAACCAAUGAACAGAAUUGCCAAAUGCUGGCACACACUAUUUAAGUGGCUACAUAAAGGCUUCCAGGUCCCUGUUUUAAAUGUGUGGCAGAAAAGGCCACGAGGGCUACUACUGUGUGCCCUGCCACACUUUUAAAGGCUCAAUGGAGCCUUGUUCAA
Non-coding RNA from Peromyscus maniculatus bairdii (prairie deer mouse), 1601 nucleotides. The record is from RefSeq and is a predicted model, not a curated record. Lineage: Eukaryota; Metazoa; Chordata; Mammalia; Rodentia; Cricetidae.